Molecule: long non-coding RNA, 1417 nt
Filed under: Salmo salar (Atlantic salmon)
Lineage: Eukaryota; Metazoa; Chordata; Actinopteri; Salmoniformes; Salmonidae
Description: lncRNA (ENSSSAG00000090761.1)
Source: RNAcentral
UUUUGGAAUAAGAUGUUCGACGAGCAGGUGUCCACAUACUUUUGGUCAUGUAGUGUAUGAGGGUAUGUUUGUGUAUGUAGGAGAGCAUGUAUAUGCAUACUUGUAAGGGUUAAGGUCUGUUUGUCAUUUUGGUCACGUAGUGUAUCUAGAAUCAGUUUAGCCUUUUAGAUCAUAAGGAAUAAGCUUACAAGGAUCUGACGCUUAAAAACGGGCCCUGAUCUGUUGCUUUUCUUCCCCUUAUUUUAAAGAGGAGAUGCAGUGAAUUUCACAUAAUAUUAAGCUACCAGGAACUCUACAUUUUAAGGGUGUCCAGUAUGUUCUGGUUUUAGAGUAUAUCUCUACCAUCAGAGCAAGAUGAUCUGUAGACAGACAGCCGAUAGUGCAGAGGCUGUUUGUGUUCAUAGUACUAUACUGUACUGUUGAGUGUAUAUGACUGUUUCAGAGGCCCUGUCUCCAUAUUGGAGUAGAGUAGGCCCUGCUUGCCAUAUCUUCGUGUUUGAUGCAAGGAAAGUUCUCGGUCGUAGUGAAUUAAGCCUUAAAGGUUAAGGGACAUUUCAUCUGUUUUUGUAUGGCACACUGUUUGCGACACUAACCACUGUGUGCACCGCAGACAACAAAUCUCAACGUAAACUUAAUAAGCAAUAUCCUACCUAAUAGGUCCCUGUAGGAUGUGACCUUUCUAAGAGCAGCUUUACUUGUUCAGUGAUGUAUGUAAUAAUCAGACCGUGACGUUCACUAUAUAAUAGGAGUAGAGGUGGCGUCCCAAAUGGCACACUACUCCCUAUAUAGUGCACUACUUUUGGUCAAAAAUAGUGCACUACUCCCUAUAUAGUGCACUACUUUUGGUCAAAAAUAGUGCACUUUAUAGGGAAGAGGGUGCCAUUUGAGGGAAAAUUUAUUCGAUGUUAAAUUGGGGGAAAUACAUUUGCUGUAAUUAUUUUUAUGCUGCUAAGAGGUAAGCUUGCAGAAUUAACAGCCAACCAACCCUCUUGUUAAACAGCAUCAAUACUUUUUUGCUAGAAGCAUGAAGUGUAGAUUUCAUUUCUGUAUAAAGUAUAAAAUACAUGUUUUUAUAAUAAUAGGCCAUGUAAAUAAUUACUUUUUUCCACUUUUAAGACUGUUUUUUUUCUUCUGAUAAUGGAGUUGUUUUUGUAAAGGUAUUUCUGAUAUUUUUAUAUGGUGUCAAUAACCGUUAUGUUUAGGAUGUUGGCAUAAGAGAAAUUAAGACGCCUUGAAAUAAAAUCUAACGAUGAAUGUGGGCUGCCUAGAUAUACAUUUAUCACGCAGUUACAUUAUGUUAUAUGAUUUGAAUAGUAAUAUUACUUUAAUGAUUAAGUGACUUACUGUAACUGUACAUCUGACUUUGAACAUAUAUGAAAAGGUAUUACAGGAAUAUUGUGAAAGAAACAUGCAUGGG